This 333-nucleotide long non-coding RNA is filed under the name Gallus gallus (chicken). The record is from RNAcentral. Lineage: Eukaryota; Metazoa; Chordata; Aves; Galliformes; Phasianidae.
CCAGUUACAGAUCAUCCACAUUUGUCAAGCAGCACUGACAAAAACGUUCCAACUCACUGAACAAAUUAAAGCAUUUGUCUGUACAGUUGUGACCAUUUUCCUGCUUCAAGAAGCAGCCUUCAAGCAUCCCUCUAUCUGUUGUAGUACAGUUGCCAGGACAUCUUUCAUCACAAUGUUCAACUUUUUUUCCAUUAUUAAAAACUGUUCAUACACCAUCACAGCUUUCAGGAAAAUCCACUUGUGUGUACCAAAUACUCCUCUAGUUCCAAUGGUGCUUCCAUGAUGGGCUUAAUGCUUCUGUACAACAUAUUGGACACCACUGAAAGCUUCUCC